This 377-nucleotide unclassified non-coding RNA is filed under the name uncultured Rickettsiales bacterium. RNAcentral describes it as "contains 16S-23S intergenic spacer region". Lineage: Bacteria; Pseudomonadati; Pseudomonadota; Alphaproteobacteria; Rickettsiales. The record is from RNAcentral.
UCCGGUUUGUCACCGGCAGUCUCAUUAGAGUGCCCAACUGAAUGUAGCAACUAAUGACAAGGGUUGCGCUCGUUGCGGGACUUAACCCAACAUCUCACGACACGAGCUGACGACAGCCAUGCAGCACCUGUGUUCCCCCCAGCCGAACUGAAGGACUCCUUUUCGGGAAUCCAAAAGGGACAUGUCAAACCCUGGUAAGGUUCUUCGCGUUGCCUCGAAUUAAACCACAUGUUCCACCGCUUGUGCGGGUCCCCGUCAAUUUCUUUGAGUUUUAAUCUUGCGACCGUACUCCCCAGGCGGGGUGCUUAACGCGUUAGCUACGCUACUCAGGGGGAACCCCCGAACAGCUAGCACCCAUCGUUUACAGCGUGGACUAC